This 464-nucleotide ribosomal RNA is filed under the name Vreelandella stevensii. RNAcentral's name for it is "partial 16S ribosomal RNA". It matches the Rfam family "Bacterial small subunit ribosomal RNA", at positions 338 to 795 of the family's 1533-position model. The record is from RNAcentral. Lineage: Bacteria; Pseudomonadati; Pseudomonadota; Gammaproteobacteria; Oceanospirillales; Halomonadaceae.
CCUACGGGGGGCUGCAGUGGGGAAUAUUGGACAAUGGGGGCAACCCUGAUCCAGCCAUGCCGCGUGUGUGAAGAAGGCCCUCGGGUUGUAAAGCACUUUCAGUGAGGAAGAACGCCUGGUGGUUAAUACCCAUCAGGAAAGACAUCACUCACAGAAGAAGCACCGGCUAACUCCGUGCCAGCAGCCGCGGUAAUACGGAGGGUGCGAGCGUUAAUCGGAAUUACUGGGCGUAAAGCGCGCGAGGUGGCUUGAUAAGCCGGUUGUGAAAGCCCCGGGCUCAACCUGGGAACGGCAUCCGGAACUGUCAAGCUAGAGUGCAGGAGAGGAAGGUAGAAUUCCCGGUGUAGCGGGGAAAGGCGUAGAGAUCGGGAGGAAUACCAGUGGCGAAGGCGGCCUUCUGGACUGACACUGACACUGAGGUGCGAAAGCGUGGGUAGCCAACAGGAUUAGAUACCCUGGUAGUC